Bos taurus (domestic cattle) is the source of this 525-nucleotide long non-coding RNA. Lineage: Eukaryota; Metazoa; Chordata; Mammalia; Artiodactyla; Bovidae. The record is from Ensembl.
CCAUGAUGAAGGCCCCUGCCCACAGCUCACCCCUUCCUCUCUGGUCCUGACCAAUCCUGGUGUUUCCCCAUGUGGACCCUCCUGGAGCAGCAUGCCCCUUUCUCUUGGAAAUUCAGCUCGCAACAAUGGAGGUUUGCUCCCAGUCUCUGCAACAGACACAUUUCCAAUCACCAGGCUUCUGUGGAUUUAUGCCCUCUUCCUGACUUAAACAGCAGCUCUCAGAAAGCAAUGGCUUUCUGCAUUGAGAUCUGGAGGGUUUGUUAGAAAUUCUGCAAGCAUAUAUCUGAUGUAUCACCAAAUUAGAGAGAAUUGUGAGCAAAGAAGAAAAAUUCUUAAAUUCACAAAUUAUGCAACUGAUUACCCCAACAACAAUUAUUUUUAAUACAUGCAUUUUGCCUUGAUUUUUGCAUUUGGGGGAAGUAAUAUAUGGUAUGAAAACAAGACUAGCAAGCAACAUUUCAUUUGUUCCUUCUUAUGAAGCAGAAUGAGGGAAUGCAUCCAAAACCACUUUGUGAGUCCUAAUGC